AAAAGAGUUAAAGCACUUUUCGGGAUAAUGAGUGUCUAAUCAAAGACUGAUCAGUGAUCAUCCUAUUUAUAUUCUAUAGUAUAUGUGAAAUUUUAAAUAAAAAUAAAAAUACGAAGAAAAUUACAUUACAUUUAACAAAAACGUAAUAAAUAAAAAAAAAACAAACCUCUGUGCAACGCAGAGGUCAGACGGUUAAGUGUAAGUGAUAGGGAAUAAACAGGAAAAAAUCAAUCUGUCCGAGUUCAAAUUCCAAAAUUGUUUAUAAAAUGUUUGAAUUUUCCCGGUUAUAAAUGUAAUGUUUCCUAAAUUUUAUAUUACAUUGCAACGUUUAGUUAAAAAUCGCAAUUCGAUGAUUAGUUGAAGAUUUAAUAUUAACGUUGUCUUUUGAAAGUGUUCUGAACAUUUAGCAAAAUCAAAUUUAACAAAAAAAUUAAAGGUUCAGCAUUUUUCACCGCCCUCUUUGUUUUAAAAAAUUAAAAGUUUUCUUAUUAUUUUUUUUUUUUUCCCCCGAUAAUUUCGUAUCACCUGUGCACCGGGUGUCAUCCAGACCGAGAACCCGCCGGUCUAGAUACGUUUUAGACGGGGUUUAUUAUUAUUAUUAUUAUUAUUGUUUUAUUUUUUUUUUUUUUUUUUUUUUUUUGACGCUUAAGUUUUAUUAAAUGUCUGUCGGGAACCGGACCAAUCACAACCCGGCGAAUAAUUCGCACGGUCGGUAACAACGUCGAGCACGGCAUUCACGCACAGUUUUCGGCGUCGGCGGCGGUACGAUUACACCUGUAACGGCGUAAAAUGCACGAAGCGAACACCGAUCGCGUACGAACGCUCGUUCGAGAACCGUUCCGAACGCUUCUGUACGCGCAUACAGGUUUUAAAUGGUUGCCGUUUGCAUUUAGCCGCGUACACGUAAACACGUACACGUAAACACGUAUACUAAAUAUACUGGCUCCGAUAUAAAAUACACAAUAAACGUUCGGAU
Cinara cedri is the source of this 976-nucleotide non-coding RNA. The record is from the annotation of a GenBank genome assembly. Lineage: Eukaryota; Metazoa; Arthropoda; Insecta; Hemiptera; Aphididae.